AUGGCGGCUCUGGUCACGUCCCAGCUCGCCACCUCCGGCACCGUCCUCGGCAUCACCGACAGGUUCCGGCGUGCAGGUUUCCAGGGCGUGAGGCCCCGGAGCCCGGCGGAUGCGGCUCUCGGCAUGAGGACCGUCGGAGCUAGCGCCGCCCCAACGCAAAGCCGGAAAGCGCACCGCGGGACCCGGCGGUGCCUCUCCAUGGUGGUGCGCGCCACCGGCAGCGGCGGCAUGAACCUCGUGUUCGUCGGCGCCGAGAUGGCGCCCUGGAGCAAGACCGGCGGCCUCGGCGACGUCCUCGGGGGCCUCCCCCCAGCCAUGGCCGCCAACGGCCACCGGGUCAUGGUCAUCUCCCCGCGCUACGACCAGUACAAGGACGCCUGGGACACCAGCGUCGUCUCCGAGAUCAAGGUCGUUGACAAGUACGAGAGGGUGAGGUACUUCCACUGCUACAAGCGCGGGGUGGACCGCGUGUUCGUCGACCACCCGUGCUUCCUGGAGAAGGUCCGGGGCAAGACCAAGGAGAAGAUCUACGGGCCCGACGCCGGCACGGACUACGAGGACAACCAGCAGCGCUUCAGCCUUCUCUGCCAGGCGGCGCUGGAAGUGCCGAGGAUCCUGAACCUCGACAAUAACCCCUACUUUUCUGGGCCCUACGGGGAGGACGUGGUGUUCGUGUGCAAUGACUGGCACACGGGCCUUCUGGCCUGCUACCUCAAGAGCAACUACCAGUCCAAUGGCAUCUACAGGGCCGCAAAGGUGGCAUUCUGCAUCCACAACAUCUCGUACCAGGGCCGCUUCUCCUUCGACGACUUCGCGCAGCUCAACCUGCCCGACAGGUUCAAGUCGUCCUUCGACUUCAUCGACGGCUACGACAAGCCGGUGGAGGGGCGCAAGAUCAACUGGAUGAAGGCCGGGAUCCUGCAGGCCGACAAGGUGCUGACGGUGAGCCCCUACUACGCGGAGGAGCUCAUCUCUGGCGAAGCCAGGGGCUGCGAGCUCGACAACAUCAUGCGCCUCACUGGGAUCACCGGCAUCGUCAACGGCAUGGAUGUUAGCGAGUGGGACCCCACCAAGGACAAGUUCCUCGCCGUCAACUACGACAUCACCACCGCGUUGGAGGGGAAGGCGCUGAACAAGGAGGCGCUGCAGGCCGAGGUGGGGCUGCCGGUGGACCGGAAGGUGCCCCUGGUGGCGUUCAUCGGCAGGCUGGAGGAGCAGAAGGGCCCCGACGUGAUGAUCGCCGCCAUCCCGGAGAUCCUGAAGGAGGAGGACGUCCAGAUCGUUCUCCUGGGCACCGGGAAGAAGAAGUUCGAGCGGCUACUCAAGAGCAUUGAGGAGAAAUUCCCGAGCAAGGUGAGGGCCGUGGUCAGGUUCAACGCGCCGCUGGCUCACCAGAUGAUGGCCGGCGCCGACGUGCUCGCCGUCACCAGCCGCUUCGAGCCCUGCGGCCUCAUCCAGCUCCAGGGGAUGCGCUACGGAACGCCGUGCGCGUGCGCGUCCACCGGCGGGCUUGUCGACACGAUCGUGGAGGGCAAGACCGGGUUCCACAUGGGCCGGCUCAGUGUCGAUUGCAACGUGGUGGAGCCGGCCGACGUGAAGAAGGUGGUGACCACCCUGAAGCGCGCCGUCAAGGUCGUCGGCACGCCGGCAUACCAUGAGAUGGUCAAGAACUGCAUGAUACAGGAUCUCUCCUGGAAGGGGCCAGCCAAGAACUGGGAGGACGUGCUUCUGGAACUGGGUGUCGAGGGGAGCGAGCCGGGGGUCAUCGGCGAGGAGAUUGCGCCGCUCGCCAUGGAGAACGUCGCCGCUCCCUGA
RNAcentral lists this ribosomal RNA (1815 nucleotides) under Triticum aestivum (bread wheat). RNAcentral's name for it is "partial small subunit ribosomal RNA". Lineage: Eukaryota; Viridiplantae; Streptophyta; Magnoliopsida; Poales; Poaceae. The record is from RNAcentral.